CAUGGACCUUGAAGACAGUGACGGCACCUCUGCCACAAAUGUUUCAAUGCUCGCUGUAUCGUCUCCAUCCCAGAGGUUAGUGAAGAUUAGAAGGC
Molecule: non-coding RNA, 95 nt
Organism: Chelonoidis abingdonii (Abingdon island giant tortoise)
Lineage: Eukaryota; Metazoa; Chordata; Testudines; Testudinidae
Source: RefSeq, a predicted model, not a curated record